This 350-nucleotide ribosomal RNA is filed under the name uncultured eukaryote. RNAcentral describes it as "SSU rRNA". It matches the Rfam family "Eukaryotic small subunit ribosomal RNA", at positions 567 to 933 of the family's 1831-position model. The record is from RNAcentral.
CCAGCAGCUGCGGUAAUUCCAGCUCCAAUAGCGUAUAUUAAAGUUGUUGCAGUUAAAAAGCUCGUAGUCGAAAUUCUGGCUGGUCCUGUUUCCGGCUUCGGUCGACUCAGGACCUAGUCAUCCGUCGGAGAACCCUUGUCGUCCUUCACUGGUCGCUUGGGGGAACUGACCCUUUACUUUGAAAAAAUUAGAGUGUUUCAGGCAGGCUCUCGCCCGAAUACUCCAGCAUGGAAUAAUGGAAUAGGACUUUCUUCUAUUUUGUUGGUUAUUAGUGGAAAGUAAUGAUUAAUAGGGACAGUUGGGGGCAUUCGUACUUAAUUGUCAGAGGUGAAAUUCUUGGAUUUAUUAAA